Molecule: ribosomal RNA, 497 nt
Filed under: uncultured bacterium
Lineage: Bacteria
Description: partial 16S ribosomal RNA
Rfam family: Bacterial small subunit ribosomal RNA
Source: RNAcentral
GAUGAACGCUGGCGGCGUGCCUAAUACAUGCAAGUCGAGCGAACGGACGAGAAGCUUGCUUCUCUGAUGUUAGCGGCGGACGGGUGAGUAACACGUGGAUAACCUAACUAUAAGACUGGGAUAACUUCGGGAAACCGUAGCUAAUACCGGAUAAUAUUUUGAACCGCAUGGUUCAAAAGUGAAAGACGGUCUUGCUGUCACUUAUAGAUGGAUCCGCGCUGCAUUAGCUAGUUGGUAAGGUAACGGCUUACCAAGGCAACGAUGCAUAGCCGACCUGAGAGGGACGUUCGACACACUGGCACUGAGACACGGCACAGACACCUACAGGAGGACACAGUAGAGAAUCUUACGCGAGGGGGGAAAGGCUAACAGAGCAACGCCGCCGAAGUGAUGAAGGUGUACGGACCGGAAAACUCUGAUAUUAGUGAAGAAGAAAAGCGUAAGUAACUGGGAAGAUAUUGACGGUACCUAAUGAGUAAGCCACGGCUAACUACGUG